RNAcentral lists this ribosomal RNA (508 nucleotides) under uncultured bacterium. RNAcentral's name for it is "partial 16S ribosomal RNA". It matches the Rfam family "Bacterial small subunit ribosomal RNA", at positions 30 to 523 of the family's 1533-position model. The record is from RNAcentral.
AUUGAACGCUGGCGGCAGGCCUAACACAUGCAAGUCGAGCGGCAGCGGGAAAGUAGCUUGCUACUUUUGCCGGCGAGCGGCGGACGGGUGAGUAAUGCCUGGGAAAUUGCCCAGUCGAGGGGGAUAACAGUUGGAAACGACUGCUAAUACCGCAUACGCCCUACGGGGGAAAGCAGGGGACCUUCGGGCCUUGCGCGAUUGGAUAUGCCCAGGUGGGAUUAGCUAGUUGGUGAGGUAAUGGCUCACCAAGGCGACGAUCCCUAGCUGGUCUGAGAAGAUGAUCAGCAACACUGGAACUGAGACACGGUCCAGACUCCUACGGGAGGCAGCAGUGGGGAAUAUUGCACAAUGGGGGAAACCCUGAUGCAGCCAUGCCGCGUGUGUGAAGAAGGCCUUCGGGUUGUAAAGCACUUUCAGCGAGGAGGAAAGGUUGAUGCCUAAUACGUAUCAACUGUGACGUUACUCGCAGAAGAAGCACCGGCUAACUCCGUGCCAGCCGCCGCAGUAA